This 719-nucleotide ribosomal RNA is filed under the name Vibrio lentus. RNAcentral's name for it is "bacterial LSU rRNA". It matches the Rfam family "Bacterial large subunit ribosomal RNA", at positions 393 to 1117 of the family's 2925-position model. Lineage: Bacteria; Pseudomonadati; Pseudomonadota; Gammaproteobacteria; Vibrionales; Vibrionaceae. The record is from RNAcentral.
UCAUAAUCAGUGAAAUCGAGUAGGGCGGGACACGUGAUAUCCUGUCUGAAUAUGGGGGGACCAUCCUCCAAGGCUAAAUACUACUGACUGACCGAUAGUGAACCAGUACCGUGAGGGAAAGGCGAAAAGAACCCCUGUGAGGGGAGUGAAAUAGAACCUGAAACCGUGUACGUACAAGCAGUAGGAGCACCUUCGUGGUGUGACUGCGUACCUUUUGUAUAAUGGGUCAGCACUUAAUUUUAGUAGCAAGGUUAACCGUUUAGGGGAGCCGUAGGGAAACCGAGUCUUAACUGGGCGUACAGUUGCUAGGAUUAGACCCGAAACCAGGUGAUCUAGCCAUGGGCAGGUUGAAGGUUGAGUAACAUCAACUGGAGGACCGAACCGACUAAUGUUGAAAAAUUAGCGGAUGACUUGUGGCUAGGGGUGAAAGGCCAAUCAAACCUGGAGAUAGCUGGUUCUCCCCGAAAGCUAUUUAGUAGCGCCUCGGACGAAUACUACUGGGGGUAGAGCACUGUUAAGGCUAGGGGGUCAUCCCGACUUACCAACCCUUUGCAAACUCCGAAUACCAGUAAGUACUAUCCGGGAGACACACGGCGGGUGCUAACGUCCGUCGUGGAGAGGGAAACAACCCAGACCGCCAGCUAAGGUCCCAAAGUAUAGCUAAGUGGGAAACGAUGUGGGAAGGCUCAGACAGCCAGGAUGUUGGCUUAGAAGCAGCC